Molecule: ribosomal RNA, 1500 nt
Filed under: Triticum aestivum (bread wheat)
Lineage: Eukaryota; Viridiplantae; Streptophyta; Magnoliopsida; Poales; Poaceae
Description: partial small subunit ribosomal RNA
Source: RNAcentral
AUGGCUAAACCAAGUGCAGGAGAUUCUGAAACACAAGGUUGUGAAAACAGUGCUGAUUCUAGCCUCGAGGUACUCGAAAGGGAGUAUGCGCAAGGUGUUCUGAUCAGCGAGGUUGUGUUGAACAACGGCAACUCAGAAACAUCCAAAAAUGCGAGACGUCGUCGGCAGAGCAAGGCGGCGAAGGAUGUCAAAAGGCCUGGAGAGACGAUAAUCAAAGGGCACAGGAGCUAUGAUCUAAUGCUCAGCCUACAGCUUGGAAUCAGGUACACAGUUGGAAAGAUUACACCGAUUCAGGCGCGUGAAAUGAGAACUUCUGAUUAUGGCCCCAGAGCAUGUUUCUGGAUGAACUUCCCCAUAACAGGGUCACGGCUUACUCCUGCGCAUCAUGCAGUAGAUUUUAAGUGGAAAGACUAUUGCCCAAUGGUUUUCCGAAACUUGAGGGAUAUGUUCAAGAUUGAUACAACAGAUUAUAUGAUAUCCAUUUGCGGAAGUGAUGCUCUUAGAGAGCUCUCUUCUCCCGGAAAGAGUGGAAGCAUAUUUUUAUUAUCGCAAGAUGACCGGUUUAUGAUCAAGACUCUUCGGAAAUCUGAAGCGAAGGUUCUUUUGCGUAUGCUUCCAUACUAUUAUCACCAUGUCCAUACUUAUGAGAACACACUCGUAACUAAAUUUUUUGGCAUCCACAGGGUGAAACCUUCCAGUGGUCGAAAGUUCCUGUUUGUAGUGAUGGGAAACAUGUUCUACACAGAACUUAGAGUCCAUCGAAGAUUUGAUUUGAAAGGUUCAUCUUUGGGCCGCUCAAAUGAAAAAAUUGAAAUUGACGUGAACACGACAUUUAAAGACUUAGAUCUGAACUAUUCAUUUCAUCUCGAGCCUACUUGGAGGGAUGCUUUGCUUAAGCAGAUUGGGACCGACAGCGAGUUUCUUAGGAAUCAGGGUAUAAUGGAUUACAGCUUGCUUCUUGGUCUGCAUUAUCGUGCUCGUCAAAGCCUAAAAAGAGGAGCAUCAUGCCAUGAAAGUCUUGUGCCAGACAAACUGGCCAUUCUUACAGAAGGUGAUUCCAUGGAGGAAAAAGCAUCUUGUAACUAUCGUGAAGGGUUGGUUUUGGUGCAAAGAGGUAGCGACCAAAAGGGUGAAAUCGUUGUUAGCCCUCACAUACGGGGAAGCCCACUGGGUUUGUCGUCUGCUUGUUUUGAGGAAGUGGAUCUUCUGAUUCCAUGCACAGCAAGGCUGCCAAUCCAACUAGGGGUGAACAUGCCCGCAAGAGCAAAGAAACAAGAAGAAGAUGGCAGCAAAUCGCUCUGCCAAGUAUAUGAUGUGGUACUCUACAUAGGGAUCAUUGAUAUUCUCCAAAAGUAUAACAUGAAGAAGAAGAUUGAGCAUGCAUAUAAGUCCAUCAAGUAUAAGUACAACCCCUUGUCAAUAUCUUCUGUUAAACCACAAUUCUACUCAGAGCGCUUCCUCAAGUUCAUUCACACCGUCUUCCCUCAAAACUCUAGCUAG